RNAcentral lists this ribosomal RNA (460 nucleotides) under uncultured bacterium. RNAcentral describes it as "partial 16S ribosomal RNA". It matches the Rfam family "Bacterial small subunit ribosomal RNA", at positions 338 to 795 of the family's 1533-position model. The record is from RNAcentral.
CCUACGGGUGGCAGCAGUGAGGAAUAUUGGUCAAUGGACGAGAGUCUGAACCAGCCAAGUAGCGUGAAGGAUGACUGCCCUAUGGGUUGUAAACUUCUUUUAUAAAGGAAUAAAACGAGGCACGUGUGCCUUUUUGCAUGUACUUUAUGAAUAAGGAUCGGCUAACUCCGUUCCAGCAGCCGCGGUAAUACGGAGGAUCCGAGCGUUAUCCUGAUUUAUUGGGUUUAAAGGGAGCGUAGAUGGGUUGUUAAGUCAGGUGUGAAAGUUUGCGGCUCAACCGUAAAAUUGCAAUUGAUACUGGCAGUCGUGAGUACAGUGGAGGUAGGCGGAAUUCGUGGUGUAGCGGUGAAAUGCUUAGAUAUCACGAAGAACCCCGAUUGCGAAGGCAGCUUACUAAACUGUGACUGACAUUGAUGCUCGAAAGUGUGGGUAUCAAACAGGAUUAGAUACCCUAGUAGUC